RNAcentral lists this small RNA (91 nucleotides) under Salmonella enterica subsp. diarizonae. RNAcentral's name for it is "partial RtT sRNA". It matches the Rfam family "RtT RNA", at positions 1 to 90 of the family's 130-position model. Rfam says of the family: This family represents a bacterial cis-regulatory element known as RtT RNA. The exact function of RtT is unknown although it is thought that it may be involved in changing the cellular response in relation to amino acid starvation. Lineage: Bacteria; Pseudomonadati; Pseudomonadota; Gammaproteobacteria; Enterobacterales; Enterobacteriaceae. The record is from RNAcentral.
AUAUCUCUCCGUACGGGAAGGAUGAGAAGCUUUGACUAAGGUUCGAUUCGAGCGCAGCGAGAAAGCGUUGCCGCAGGCAACGACCCGAAGG